GUGAGGAAUAUUGGACAAUGGGCGCAAGCCUGAUCCAGCCAUGUCGCGUGCAGGAAGACGCAUCUAUGGUGUGUAAACUGCUUUUGUACGGGAAGAAACACUCCCUCGUGAGGGAGCUUGACGGUACCGUAAGAAUAAGGAUCGGCUAACUCCGUGCCAGCAGCCGCGGUAAUACGGAGGAUCCAAGCGUUAUCCGGAAUCAUUGGGUUUAAAGGGUCCGUAGGCGGUUUAAUAAGUCAGUGGUGAAAGCCCAUCGCUCAACGAUGGAACGGCCAUGGAUACUGUGAGACUUGAAUUACAAGGAAGUAACUAGAAUAUGUAGUGUAGCGGUGAAAUGCUUAGAUAUUACAUGGAAUACCAAUUGCGAAGGCAGGUUACUACUUGUGGAUUGACGCUGAUGGACGAAAGCGUGGGGAGCGAACAGGAUGAGAAACCCCUGUAGUCC
Molecule: ribosomal RNA, 445 nt
Filed under: uncultured bacterium
Lineage: Bacteria
Description: partial 16S ribosomal RNA
Rfam family: Bacterial small subunit ribosomal RNA
Source: RNAcentral